Molecule: ribosomal RNA, 974 nt
Filed under: Pseudomonas aeruginosa
Lineage: Bacteria; Pseudomonadati; Pseudomonadota; Gammaproteobacteria; Pseudomonadales; Pseudomonadaceae
Description: bacterial SSU rRNA
Rfam family: Bacterial small subunit ribosomal RNA
Source: RNAcentral
CCUAGGAAUCUGCCUGGUAGUGGGGGAUAACGUCCGGAAACGGGCGCUAAUACCGCAUACGUCCUGAGGGAGAAAGUGGGGGAUCUUCGGACCUCACGCUAUCAGAUGAGCCUAGGUCGGAUUAGCUAGUUGGUGGGGUAAAGGCCUACCAAGGCGACGAUCCGUAACUGGUCUGAGAGGAUGAUCAGUCACACUGGAACUGAGACACGGUCCAGACUCCUACGGGAGGCAGCAGUGGGGAAUAUUGGACAAUGGGCGAAAGCCUGAUCCAGCCAUGCCGCGUGUGUGAAGAAGGUCUUCGGAUUGUAAAGCACAAUAAGUUGGGAGGAAGGGCAGUAAGUUAAUACCUUGCUGUUUUGACGUUACCAACAGAAUAAGCACCGGCUAACUUCGUGCCAGCAGCCGCGGUAAUACGAAGGGUGCAAGCGUUAAUCGGAAUUACUGGGCGUAAAGCGCGCGUAGGUGGUUCAGCUAGUUGGAUGUGAAAUCCCCGGGCUCAACCUGGGAACUGCAUCCAAAACUACUGAGCUAGAGUACGGUAGAGGGUGGUCGAAUUUCCUGUGUAGCGGUGAAAUGCGUAGAUAUAGGAAGGAACACCAGUGGCGAAGGCGACCACCUGGACUGAUACUGACACUGAGGUGCGAAAGCGUGGGGAGCAAACAGGAUUAGAUACCCUGGUAGUCCACGCCGUAAACGAUGUCGACUAGCCGUUGGGAUCCUUGAGAUCUUAGUGGCGCAGCUAACGCGAUAAGUCGACCGCCUGGGGGAGUACGGCCCGCAAGGUUUAAAACUCAAAUGAAAUUGACGGGGGGCCCGCACAAGCGGUGGGAGCAUGUGGGUUUAAUUCGAAAGCAACGCGAAAAAACCUUACCUGGGCCUUGACAUGCUGAGAAACUUUUCCAGAAGAUGGGAUUGGGUGCCCUUCGGGAAACUCAGAACACAGGGUGCCUGCAUGGGCUGGUCGUUCAGCCUUC